This 240-nucleotide non-coding RNA is filed under the name Diaphorina citri (Asian citrus psyllid). RNAcentral describes it as "Eukaryotic large subunit ribosomal RNA". It matches the Rfam family "Eukaryotic large subunit ribosomal RNA", at positions 1230 to 1424 of the family's 3401-position model. The record is from Rfam by way of RNAcentral. Lineage: Eukaryota; Metazoa; Arthropoda; Insecta; Hemiptera; Psyllidae.
GCUACCGACAGCAGGGCGGUGGCCAUGGAAGUCGGACAUCCGCUAAGGAGUGUGUAACAACUCACCUGCCGAAGCAACCAGCCCUGAAAAUGGAUGCCGCUGAAGCGUCGUGCCUAUGCUCGGCCGUCAGUGGCAGAGUGGGCUGUCGGCCGGUACCGCGUGCCGGCCCGGCAGACCCGGUAAGCCCUGACGAGUAGGAGGGCGCAGUGGUGUGCGCAGAAGGGACCGAGCCGUAAGGCC